Molecule: ribosomal RNA, 1000 nt
Filed under: Vibrio harveyi
Lineage: Bacteria; Pseudomonadati; Pseudomonadota; Gammaproteobacteria; Vibrionales; Vibrionaceae
Description: bacterial SSU rRNA
Rfam family: Bacterial small subunit ribosomal RNA
Source: RNAcentral
AGUGACAGAGAGCACGCUACUCGUGCCAGCAGCCGCGGUAAUACUGAGGGUGCGAGCUGUUAUCGGAAUUACUGGGCGUAAAGCGCAUGCAGGUGGUUCUUGUUAAGUUCAGAUUGUGAAAGCCCGGGGCCUCAACGUCGAGAAGUAGCAUGUGAAACUGGCAGACUAGAGUACUAUAGAGAGAGGGUAGCACUCUCAGGUGUAGCGGUGAAAUGCGUAGAGAUCUGAAGGAAUACCGGUGGCGAAGGCGGUCUCCCUGUACAGAUACUGACACUCAGAUGCGAAAGCGUGGGGAGCAACACAGGAUUAGAUACCCUGGUAGUCCACGCCGUAAACGAUGUCUACUUGGAGGUUGUGGCCUUGAGCCGUGGCUUUCGGAGCUAACGCGUUAAGUAGUCCGCCUGGGGAGUACGGUCGCAAGAUUAAAACUCAAAUGAAUUGACGGGGGCCCGCACAAGCGGUGGAGCAUGUGGUUUAAUUCGAUGCAACGCGAAGAACCUUACCUACUCUUGACAUCCAGAGAACUUUCCAGAGAUGGAUUGGUCCCUUCGGGAACUCUGAGACAGGUGCUGCAUGGCUGUCGUCAGCUCGUGUUGUGAAAUGUUGGGUUAAGUCCCGCACCGAGCGCACCCCCUAUCCUUGUUUUCCACCGAGUAAUGUCGGGCACUCCAGGGAGACUGCCGGUGAUAAACCGGAGGAAGGUGGGGACGACGUCAAGUCAUCAUGGCCCUUACGAGUAGGGCUACACACGUGCUACAAUGGCGCAUACAGAGGGCGGCCAACUUGCGAAAGUGAGCCAAUCCCAAAAAGUCCGUCGUAGUCCGGAUUGGAGUCUGCAACUCGACUCCAUGAAGUCGGAAUCGCUAGUAAUCGUGGAUCAGAAUGCCACGGUGAAUACGUUCCCGGGCCUUGUACACACCGCCCGUCACCCCAUGGGAGUUGGCUGCUAAAAUAAGUCCUGACUCAGCCAGUGGAAGCAAGCUAGCCGUAGAGUACUCCC